RNAcentral lists this ribosomal RNA (433 nucleotides) under uncultured bacterium. RNAcentral describes it as "partial 16S ribosomal RNA". It matches the Rfam family "Bacterial small subunit ribosomal RNA", at positions 29 to 507 of the family's 1533-position model. The record is from RNAcentral.
AACGAACGCUGGCGGCAUGCCUAACACAUGCAAGUCGAACGAGACCUUCGGGUCUAGUGGCGCACGGGUGGGUAACGCGUGGGAACCUGCCCUUAGGUUCGGAAUAACUCCCCGAAAGGGGUGCUAAUACCGGAUAAUGUCUUCGGACCAAAGAUUUAUCGCCUUUGGAUGGGCCCGCGUUGGAUUAGCUAGUUGGUAGGGUAAAAGCCAGCCAAGGGGACGAUGCAUAGGUGGUCUGUGAGGAUGGUCAGCCGGACUGGGACUGAGACACGGCCCAGACUCCUACGGAGGGCAGCAGUAGAGAAUAUUGGACGAGGGGCGAAAGCCUGAUCCAGCAAUGCCGCGUGAGUGAUGAAGGCCUUAGGGUUGUAAAGCUCUUUUACCCGGGAUGAUAAUGACAGUACCGGGAGAAUAAGCUCCGGCUAACUCCGUG